CAGCAGCCGCGGUAAUUCGAAGGGGGCUAGCGUUGCUCGGAAUUACUGGGCGUAAAGGGAGCGUAGGCGGGUCGUUUAGUCAGAGGUGAAAUCCCGGGGCUCAACCUCGGAACUGCCUUUGAUACUGGCGACCUUGAGUAUGGGAGAGGUAAGCGGAACUCCGAGUGUAGAGGUGAAAUUCGUAGAUAUUCGGAAGAACACCAGUGGCGAAGGCGGCUUACUGGCCCAUUACUGACGCUGAGGCUCGAAAGCGUGGGGAGCAAACAGGAUUAGAUACCCGCGUAGUCCCUGUCUCUUAUAC
Molecule: ribosomal RNA, 301 nt
Filed under: uncultured bacterium
Lineage: Bacteria
Description: partial 16S ribosomal RNA
Rfam family: Bacterial small subunit ribosomal RNA
Source: RNAcentral